AUGCUCCCUUCAGCAGCACAUAAACUAAAAUUGGAACAAUAUAGAGAUGAGCAUGGCACCCGUGUAAGGAUGACAGGCAAAUUUGCAAAAAGUUCCAUAUUUUU
Molecule: small nuclear RNA, 104 nt
Organism: Vulpes vulpes (red fox)
Lineage: Eukaryota; Metazoa; Chordata; Mammalia; Carnivora; Canidae
Source: Ensembl